Molecule: long non-coding RNA, 592 nt
Organism: Spodoptera frugiperda (fall armyworm)
Lineage: Eukaryota; Metazoa; Arthropoda; Insecta; Lepidoptera; Noctuidae
Exons: 2
Source: RefSeq, a predicted model, not a curated record
AGAGAAUUUAGUGUUUAUGUAAUGACUAUUUACAAUAUCUAAAGAAAUUGUGUUAAACCUAUGCAAUUGUGUUCGCUACUGAAACUAUUGGAAAUAUGAAAGAAAUUAUAUUCUUAUUUAUUUUUGUAUUUGUUUUCCCCACAAAAACUGAAGCUGCAUCGUUACCAAGAAUGAAUAGAGGUCAACCGAUAAAAUCUUUCGCAUCGAAGGCUUUAAAACUGCGAGGCGAAGCAUCGAUGACUUACGAUGAAAAUAUGAGUAUAAGAAAAUCACCAGAGCGCGUCAUACCAGUUUACAUUAUAACGAGAUCGAAACCAGUAAAGAGAAGUGAUCCGAAAAAGUACGAAAAACUAUUUGAUUCCAACGGAAUGAUACUUGUAUCAGGCCCUAGUGGGAUAAAGACAGUUUCAAAGCAAGAUAACGUCAAGACAGGACGGCGGUCAGCGCAGGCGUUUUUAAAAAAUAAACGUAAAAAAAUGGACCUCAUUAACAAACAAUUGAAUAAGAAAUUGUUGGCUCGAUCCAAUUCUAAUAGACGGAGUUUUAGACGCCGUGCUAACAAUGAUAAUUAUAAUAAAAUAUUUAUAUUUUA